This is a long non-coding RNA of Saccostrea cuccullata (small rock oyster), 381 nucleotides long. RefSeq lists it as uncharacterized. Lineage: Eukaryota; Metazoa; Mollusca; Bivalvia; Ostreida; Ostreidae. The record is from RefSeq and is a predicted model, not a curated record. The transcript has 5 exons.
AAGAAGAAUUCAAAUCGCAAAUCGUAAGUGUAACAGACAUAUCAUGAAGUUUAUUGCAUGUGUCGUAAUCUUUGCUAUGCUGCUUUGCUUGAUGAAAGAGACGGACGCUAAAAAGAAGAAAUGGUGUGCUUGCUACAAUGGAUUUUGUUACUGCAGCAAGCGUUCUCUGGAUAUGUUAAAGGAAGAUGGAAGUGACCCGGUGGAAAAAAUAAACCAAAUGAGAGAGGCGGAUUUCAGGAAAAGAUUCUUGAAAACUGAGAUGAAGCAAUAGAAAUACAAAUAGAAUGGAAAACAUCAAUUGAAAUUGAGUGAGGAGGAUUAAAAUUUCAUUUUUGAAUUAAAACUUCUCUUGAUUCCAGUAAAACUUUUGAAAAUGCAUUA